AUGAUUCAGACUACAUGCAAUAAUAGGCAACAUCGCUGGAUCCCGCCUGCUACGGGACAAAUAAAAAUUAAUGUUGAUGCGGGAUUAUCAGUGAAGCACAACGUAGGCACAGCAACAACAAUUUGUCGAGAUCGAGAUGGUUCCUAUAUUGGGUCUUCAGUGCUAGUGAUUCAUGGCAUCACUGAUCCUACUACUCUAGAAGCUUUAGCCUGCCGAGAGGCUUUAUCGUUGGUGCAAGACUUGGGCAUGCAACAUCUUCAAAUCGCAUCGGAUUGCAAACAGGUCGUCAAUCAUAUUCAUGAAGGAGUUGGAGGAAACUAUGGGAGUGUUAUCAAAGAGAUUUUGCAAAGUGUUAGAAUGUUUAAUUAUUGUAAUGUUUUGUUUGAACCUCAAGCUUCUAAUUUUGAAGCUCAUAUGCUACCUAGGUCAGGUGUCUCUCUUCCCCAAGGGCGGCAUCUUUGGUUGGGCACGUCAAGUGAUCCAAUAACUUUUCCUGUAAACAUCUUUACCAAUUAA
Molecule: ribosomal RNA, 516 nt
Filed under: Triticum aestivum (bread wheat)
Lineage: Eukaryota; Viridiplantae; Streptophyta; Magnoliopsida; Poales; Poaceae
Description: partial small subunit ribosomal RNA
Source: RNAcentral